UGGCAUGGAUUAGGCAUGCAAGUCGAGCGAACCCGCAAGGGUUAGCGGCAAAAGGGUGAGUAACACGUAGGUAAUCUUCCCUUAAAACGAGGAUAGCAUUGUGAAAACGGUGGUAAUACUCGAUAACUUCAGUAGUCCGCAUGGACCGCUGAAUAAAGACGGGGACCGUAAGGCCUGUCGUUUAAGGAUGAGCUUGCGUACCAUCAGCUAGUUGGUAGGGUAAUGGCCUACCAAGGCUAAGACGGUUAGCUGGUCUGAGAGGAUGGUCAGCCACACUGGGACUGAGACACUGCCCAGACUCCUACGGGAGGCUGCAGUCGAGGAUAUUUAGCAAUGGGCGAAAGCCUGACUAUGCGACGCCGCGUGCAGGAUGAAGGUCUUCGGAUUGUAAACUGCUUUUGUUAGGGGAGAAACCUGUAUCGUUAAUAGCGCUACAGCUGACAGUACCUGACGAAUAAGCCACGGCAAAGCCUGUGCCAGCAGCCGCGGUAAUACAGGCGUGGCAAGCGUUACUCGGAAUUAUUGGGUGUAAAGGGCAGGUAGGUGGCCUGACAAGUGAGGGGUGAAAUCCUGCGGUUUAAUCGCAGAACAGCCUUUCAAACUAUCAGGCUCGAGAGAGAGGAAGAUGGAAUUCCCGGUGUAAGGGUGAAAUCUGUAGAUAUCGGGAAGAACACCAACGGCGAAGGCAAUCUUCUGGGUCACUUCUGACACUGAGCUGCGAAAGCUAGGGGAGCAAACAGAAUUAGAUACUCUGGUAGUCCUAGCCGUAAACGAUGAAUACUAGGUGUUGGGUCCCUUUGGGGCUCGGUGCCGAAGCUAACGCAUUAAGUAUUCCACCUGGGGACUACGAUCGCAAGGUUAAAACUCAAAGGAAUUGACGGGGGCUCACACAAGCGGUGGAA
RNAcentral lists this ribosomal RNA (902 nucleotides) under uncultured bacterium. Its description in RNAcentral is "bacterial SSU rRNA". It matches the Rfam family "Bacterial small subunit ribosomal RNA", at positions 40 to 937 of the family's 1533-position model. The record is from RNAcentral.